GCGGCUGUGGUGAAAUGGCAGACACGCAUGCCUUAGGAGCAUGUGCCGAAAGGCGUGGGGGUUCGACUCCCUUCAGCCGCACCA
This 84-nucleotide transfer RNA is filed under the name Chloroflexota bacterium. RNAcentral's name for it is "Chloroflexi bacterium tRNA-Leu". It matches the Rfam family "tRNA". Rfam says of the family: Transfer RNA (tRNA) molecules are approximately 80 nucleotides in length. Their secondary structure includes four short double-helical elements and three loops (D, anti-codon, and T loops). Lineage: Bacteria; Bacillati; Chloroflexota. RNAcentral also lists the same sequence under 2 other names. The record is from RNAcentral.